RNAcentral lists this long non-coding RNA (4144 nucleotides) under Olea europaea subsp. europaea. The record is from RNAcentral. Lineage: Eukaryota; Viridiplantae; Streptophyta; Magnoliopsida; Lamiales; Oleaceae.
AAAAAUUUCUUAAAACUCAAAUCCAAACCUUAAACAAAAUGGAAUUGCGGAGAGGAUUUCCUCUCUUAAUCCAACAGUACAAAGCUUUACUCUUUAAGAAUCUUCUCCUCUCAUGGCGAAAUAGGCGAUCCACAUUUCUCCAGCUUUUCUCAUCCCUCUUCUUCAUCUUCAUCAUCUUCUGCAUUCAAAAAGCAUUCGACUCGAGAUACUCCUCGUCUUCUUCUUUCAAAAGUAUCAAUGAUCCUGAACCGUUGAUCUUUCCCGCAAUCCCACCUUGUGAGGAAAAAUUCUACUCUAAAUUGCCAUGCUUUGAUUUUGUUUGGAGUGGGAAUGACAGUGCUAGAAUUGGGGAGAUUGUUAGAAGGAUUCGAGAGAAUAAUCCCGGCCGGAGUAUUCCUUCUGACAAGGUUUAAUUUUUCCCUAUUUUUUAAUUUUGUUUUCUUGUUUUGUAAGUAAAAUGCAGUUUUCUGAAGAAGUUUUCACUUAAUUUUGAUUACAGCAAAUUGAAUUAAAAAAGGAUUGGAUGAGAGUUAGAAGGGUGUGCCCUAAUGUGUGUUAUCUUUGUUUUGAUGCAAAAUCUCUUAGGCUCUAUUUGAUUGCAACAUUUUUCAUGGAAAAUGUCACAUCCAACGAAAAUAAUUUCCACUUUGACUGUUUGAUUCGUAUGUGGAAAUGGAAUUUAAAUUCUUAUGUACAACCAUUUAAAGCACGUUUUUGGCCAAUUCCAUGAAAAACGAAUUCUUAUGGGUAUGGUGAUAAUUUGUUUUCCAACUUAGAUGGAAUUCCUUUUCCUUUUCCUCCUUCGCAAUCAAACGGGGCCUUAUGCAUAUUUGUUAGGGAGGAUUACAUAGCACAUGAUAAGGGCAAAAAAGAAAAAAAAAGUACAAUCUUGUUCAUUAUAUUGUUCAGUUUGCAUGCAAACGCAUUGACUUAUAUAUUUUGUCUGCAGUACAUGAAGCAGAAAAUGUAAAUAUAGCUUUACUGUUGGAAUUAAAUUCCUUGUUGAUUUUAAUCUAUUGAAUUUUGAAGUCAACGGGUAGAAACCAUUAAAAAUAGUAAAUGAAGUAAUCAAAAAUCAGAAUCUGGUUAGGGUAAUGUUUUAUAAAUUAUAGAAUAUUAUAUUAGUAUUUAAAAUGAAUUUGUUGAUUCCAAAAUUUCUGUAGUUCACAGAGAAACUUGAUUAGUUCCAUUUCAUAAACUCAUGUUUUCUACUCAAAAUUAAAUUGCUUAAUUAAGUUGUUUAGGCUGAUUCACCACUAUGUACAGUCACUUGGUAAUUACCUUCUUAUGUUUUUGUUAUAUAUUUCUUUCCCCGGUCUGCAACAUUAUUGAAGUUCCACUUAAGGCUAGUUACAGUUUCCAGUUUGGAUGUAUAAAGGUAAAAUGAUGCAAUAUCCUUUCUUUGAUUAUUAUGAUGAAUCAAUCAUAAUGGCAGAAAAUAACGAACUGGGGAUAAGAAAUAUAAUAUGGGACUCAGACUUUUCUGAAGAUAUUUGGAAUUCUAUGUGAUUACAAAUUUGGUUGUUUACUUUUUUGAUCGGAGCUAAAUCUGUAAUUUUCGACAAUGCCUUUUUUAGGAAUAAAGUUAGUAGCAUUUUAUCUAAGUAAAAACUUGUAAUAUAAAAAAACUGUAUUGCUGAAAGAAUGGGAAAUGAUCAUGCCUUGAGCAGGUUCAGUCAUUCAAAACGCGAAAUGAAGUUGAUGAUUGGCUUGCCAACCAUUCUAUGCAUUGUCCUGGAGCUCUGCAUUUAGUGGACAGAAACGCUACCGUAAUUAGCUAUGGAUUGCAGACUAAUUCUACUCCACUUGCUAAGCGAGGAAAUUUUGAAGAUCCUACUUUUAAAUUUCAAAUUCCACUUCAACUUGCUGCAGAACGUGAAAUCGCAAGAUUUCUGAUUGGAGGUAUGACAUCCGAAAUUCUUCUUUUAGAGCAUGUUUUGCAUCACUUAUAAAAAAAAAUGAAGUUAAUUUUUGUCUUCAAACAUGUUCGGAUAAUUUAUAUUUUUUGUACAUUUAAGUAAAAAGUUACUUUUUUGAAAGCAACUCUUACCUUGUCCAUAUUUGGAAAACAUUGUAAUUUUCUUAUAUUUUAAUGUUCAAACUCAAACAUUAAUUUUAAUCACACAUUUUGGAGGACGUACAACUACUACCCACUUAUCCCACCCCUCAUUUUUGUCACAUUAUAAUUUCAGAUAGCUAUAAUUUUAUAUUAGAUAAAUUAAUUUCUUCAGGUUUCAACAAUAAAAGUAUUUAUUUUAAAACUUACUUAUUAACUUAUAAGUGAACUUUUUAAGCUUAGCGCAACAUGCUCUGAUCUGAUGGAUCAUAUAAAGCAUGAUGAGAGUUUCCUUACAAUGCACCCUCUUUUUUGUGGCUGCAUACACUUCAGAUGCAAGCUUUAGUUGGGUUGUCAGUCUUAAGGAAUUUGCCCAUCCUGCUAUUGAAAUCUUUUCGGCUGUGCAAAGAGCAGGACCGACCUUUUUCCUGGCAAUUGCUAUGUUUGCUUUUGUCCUUCAAAUUUCUGCUUUGACCACGGAGAAAGAAUUAAAACUUCGCCAGGUAUAGAAUAAUCUCCAUUUCAAAAUGAAGAUAAGUACUCCUAUGGUUCCAGCAUAUUGCAAAAUCCUGAAUAAUUAUUCACUUACAUGUUUGAUAACAGGCAAUGACAAUGAUGGGUCUUUAUGAUACUGCCUAUUGGUUAUCGUGGCUCACUUGGGAGGGAAUCCUCACAUUGCUUUCCUCACUUUUCACAGUUUUAUUUGGAAUGAUGUUCCAGUUUGACUUUUUCUUGCACAACAGUUUUGCUGUUGUGUUCUUCUUGUUCUUUCUCUUUCAAUUGAGUAUGGUAGGUUUCCUUACUCCAGUAUGAAACGUACGUCAUAUUCAGUUAUUGUCAUUAUAACGAGGUUUGUUUCUUGCUUCUGUUAUCAGACUGCAUUUGCCUUUAUGCUGUCUACGUUUAUUAGCAAGUCUGAUUCGUCCAGCACGUUAGGUUUCUUUUGCUUUAUUAUUGGUUCCAUGACUCAGGCAAGUUUCUCUUUUCAAAAAAUGUUUAAUUACAAAGUACUGAAUGCCACUCAUAAUAACAGAUCUCUCUUCAUACUAUUCCAGAUCGUGACAGCAUUUGGAUUUCCUUACAGCGAUGACUUCUCGAACACGUACCGAAUUGUGUGGUCACUUUUUCCUCCAAAUCUUUUUGCUAAAGGUCUCGAAUUGCUCUCUGAUGCAACUGCAACUCCUCAAGAUCCCGGUGUCAGCUGGAAUGGGAGGACAAAAUGUUCACCAAAUGAUACUGAUUGCAUCAUAACAAUUGUACGUCAAACCAUCAAGCUUCUAUUCUAUUUCCCUUUUAUGCAUUACGAGUUAACUAGUCUUAGAAAUUAACUCAAAGCAUGUCUGAUACACAUUUCUCAACAAGAUUGGAUAGUGAACCUUUUCUCUUUUAAUACUGCUGAGUACCAUCUAAUCCAACUUAUUUAAUAUGGCAUCUUUGUCUUAAAAUUUGUUCGAUGAUUAUCUUAAGUAUUCAACUGCCUCUUACUAAAUUGCUUCCAAAACUUUUUAUGUUGAUUGACAGAACAAGAUUUACAUAUGGCUUUUAGCUGUAUCCUUUCUCUGGUUUGUUUUGGCCAUCUACUUUGACAAUAUUUUUCCAAAUACAUCUGGGGUGAGAAAGUCGGUGUUAUAUUUUCUGAGUCCUGGGUACUGGACCGGAAAUGGGGGAAACAAGGUGGAAGGUAUUGAAAUCCGAUACAAUAAUUUUCUGUCAUUUCAUCCUGUUAUUUGGUUGAUACUGCCAACUGCUAAUAUCUUAGGCAUGCCCUUUUUCCUUUGAGAAGGAAGCAUAUGUAGUUGCUUUAGUUCAGUACCACUCGUGGACAGCACCAUUCCAGAGGACGAGGAUGUACUUGAAGAGGAAAACAUAGUGAAACAGCAAGCUUCAGACGGUAGUGUAGAUUCACGAAUUGCAGUCCAAAUACGUGGUCUCGUGAAAACUUACGCUGGAGCAACAAAGAUCGGGUGCUGCAAAUGUAAGAGGACCUCUCCUUACCAUGCUCUCAAGGUAAAAUAAACCUUGUGGAAUAUGGUACCGUAAGAGUAGUUUUGGGGAACUGAAUCUCCGAGUUAAUAUAGAUCAAUAGUG